This is a small nucleolar RNA of Rana temporaria (common frog), 207 nucleotides long. RefSeq annotates it as small nucleolar RNA SNORA74. The transcript has a single exon. NCBI's taxonomy places the organism in Eukaryota, Metazoa, Chordata, Amphibia, Anura, Ranidae. The record is from RefSeq and is a predicted model, not a curated record.
CCCAGUGGUAGUCAGCUGUCCAGGAUAUCUCUGUACCUGGGAUAGUGUUCCGCUGCUGGAAGAGAAACCUAAAGCUUUACAGUGGAAAUCAAUGUCACCGUUUUGUUGACUUGUGACCUGGGUGUUACUGUUUAGCUGAGCUGUGCUUCUCUGAAACUGCUGACUUUUUUUUUCAGUGCUGUCUGCAUUAGUCUGGAAGUACACAGU